UCCCCGUUGUUCUGGGAGAGGUAUACAUAGAGAGGACAGACUCCAGGGGUUAGACAACUGAAAGGCUGCAGCAUGGCAAAAAUGGUGAAGAAAUCAUGGAAGCCACAAACCAUAAGCACCAAGCAGCGGAAGAAGAGGAAGACUACCUCUCAACCCAGAUCAAGAGGCAUUAACAAGGUGCUAAAGAUAUACAAGAAGACAAAAAGAUCACCUCACAUGAGUUCAAGAAAAAAAUACUCUCCUAAAUUUAUAACUACUUCAAGAAGAAAGAAGAGAGCAAGGAGGAGCAAUUAGUUUCACCUGUAGACUGAGCCAAAAGCAGCCAGGCCAGACCCAACAGACUCUAUAGAGCUGUCACCACUCCAAGACAAGACCUGUGAAAACACUACCUACAGAGCAAGCUUCAGAGACCUCAGGCAAUCUUCAUCUAGAGCCCUGGCUGCGGAGAAAAGGCCAACUGCAUAGAGACUGCCACAGAUGCUAAUGUGAAACAUGGAACUCACAUGGAGGUGAUUAAAAUAAAAUCAACAGGGUGUAAGAAGCCCCUUCAAAAAAUAAAAUCAGACACUCUGCAUAGAAGUGAA
Suricata suricatta (meerkat) is the source of this 584-nucleotide long non-coding RNA. RefSeq lists it as uncharacterized. The record is from RefSeq and is a predicted model, not a curated record. The transcript has 2 exons. Lineage: Eukaryota; Metazoa; Chordata; Mammalia; Carnivora; Herpestidae.